UACGUAGGUGGCAAGCGUUACUCGGAAUUACUAGGCGUAAAGCGCAGGUAGGUUGUUAGGUAAGUCCGUAAUGAAAUCUCCCGGCUUAACUGGGAGGGGUUUGGGGAUACUGCCUGACUCGAGUUUGGGAGAGGUGACUGGAAUUCCUGGUGUAGCGGUGAAAUGCGUAGAGAUCAGGAGGAACACCUAUGGCGAAAGCAGGUCACUGGCCCAAUACUAACGCUGAGCUGCGAAAGCUAGGGGAGCAAACAGG
Molecule: ribosomal RNA, 253 nt
Filed under: uncultured bacterium
Lineage: Bacteria
Description: partial 16S ribosomal RNA
Rfam family: Bacterial small subunit ribosomal RNA
Source: RNAcentral